Molecule: ribosomal RNA, 579 nt
Filed under: uncultured bacterium
Lineage: Bacteria
Description: partial 16S ribosomal RNA
Rfam family: Bacterial small subunit ribosomal RNA
Source: RNAcentral
UGGGGAAUUUUGGACAAUGGGCGAAAGCCUGAUCCAGCAAUGCCGCGUGUGUGAAGAAGGCCUUCGGGUUGUAAAGCACUUUUGUCCGGAAAGAAAUCCUUGGCUCUAAUACAGUCGGGGGAUGACGGUACCGGAAGAAUAAGCACCGGCUAACUACGUGCCAGCAGCCGCGGUAAUACGUAGGGUGCAAGCGUUAAUCGGAAUUACUGGGCGUAAAGCGUGCGCAGGCGGUUUGCUAAGACCGAUGUGAAAUCCCCGGGCUCAACCUGGGAACUGCAUUGGUGACUGGCAGGCUAGAGUAUGGCAGAGGGGGGUAGAAUUCCACGUGUAGCAGUGAAAUGCGUAGAGAUGUGGAGGAAUACCGAUGGCGAAAGCAGCCCCCUGGGCCAAUACUGACGCUCAUGCACGAAAGCGUGGGGAGCAAACAGGAUUAGAUACCCUGGUAGUCCACGCCCUAAACGAUGUCAACUAGUUGUUGGGGAUUCAUUUCCUUAGUAACGUAGCUAACGCGUGAAGUUGACCGCCUGGGGAGUACGGUCGCAAGAUUAAAACUCAAAUGAAUUGACGGGGUCAUAGCUG